This 174-nucleotide unclassified non-coding RNA is filed under the name Halobacillus karajensis. RNAcentral describes it as "T-box". Lineage: Bacteria; Bacillati; Bacillota; Bacilli; Caryophanales; Bacillaceae. The record is from RNAcentral.
CGUGUUGCGGAGAAGGAGAGUAGUAUCCGGGGAAACUAUUUCCAAGAGCGAGCUUGUGACGGUGAGAGACAAGCGGAAAAAGCCCGGGGAAGGCGUUCCUGAGCGACGGUGAAAGUGGCUUCCUAUACAUGAAGGGAGCAAUUAGGGUGGAACCGCGGAGACCCCGUCCCUAUG